RNAcentral lists this ribosomal RNA (433 nucleotides) under uncultured bacterium. Its description in RNAcentral is "partial 16S ribosomal RNA". It matches the Rfam family "Bacterial small subunit ribosomal RNA", at positions 29 to 507 of the family's 1533-position model. The record is from RNAcentral.
AGCGAACGCUGGCGGCAGGCUUAACACAUGCAAGUCGAGCGGACCUUUCGGGGUCAGCGGCGGACGGGUGAGUAACGCGUGGGAACGUGCCUUCCGGUUCGGAAUAACCCUGGGAAACUAGGGCUAAUACCGGAUACGCCCUUAUGGGGAAAGGUUUACUGCCGGAAGAUCGGCCCGCGUCUGAUUAGCUAGUUGGUGGGGUAACGGCCUACCAAGGCGACGAUCAGUAGCUGGUCUGAGAGGAUGAUCAGCCACACUGGGACUGAGACACGGCCCAGACUCCUACGGGAGGCAGCAGUGGGGAAUAUUGGACAAUGGGCGCAAGCCUGAUCCAGCCAUGCCGGGUGAGUGAUGAAGGCCUUAGGGUUGUAAAGCUCUUUUAUCCGGGACGAUAAUGACGGUACCGGAGGAAUAAGCCCCGGCUAACUUCGUG